Molecule: ribosomal RNA, 1033 nt
Filed under: Vibrio anguillarum
Lineage: Bacteria; Pseudomonadati; Pseudomonadota; Gammaproteobacteria; Vibrionales; Vibrionaceae
Description: bacterial SSU rRNA
Rfam family: Bacterial small subunit ribosomal RNA
Source: RNAcentral
GCCUAGGAAAUUGCCCUUAUGUGGGGGAUAACCAUUGNGAAACGAUGGCUAACACCGCAUGAUGCCUACGGCGCCAGAAGGAGGGAGGACCUUCGGGCCUCUCGCGUCAAGAUAUGCCUAGGUGGGAUUAUCUAGUUGGUGAGGUAAUGGCUCACCAGGGCGACUAUCCCUAGCUGGUCUGAGAGGAUGAUCACCCACACUGGAACUGACACACGGUCCACACUCCUACGGGAGGCAGCAGUGGGGAAUAUUGCACAAUGGGCGCAAGCCUGAUGCACCCAUGCCGCGUGUAUGAAGAACGCCUUCGGGUUGUAAAGUACUUUCACUCGUGAGGAAGGUGGUGUUGUUAAUAGCAGCAUCAUUUGACGUUAGCGACAGAAGAAGCACCGGCUAACUCCGUGCCAGCAGCCGCGGUAAUACGGAGGGUGCGAGCGUUAAUCGGAAUUACUGGGCGUAAAGCGCAUGCAGGUGGUGGAUUAAGUCAGAUGUGAAAGCCCGGGGUUCAACUUCGGAACCGCAUUUGAAAUUGGUUCACUAGAGUACUGUAGAGGGGGGUAGAAUUUCAGGUGUAGCGGUGAAAUGCGUAGAGAUCUGAAGGAAUACCGGUGGCGAAGGCGGCCCCCUGGACAGAUACUGACACUCAGAUGCGAAAGCGUGGGGAGCAAACAGGAUUAGAUACCCUGGUAGUCCACGCCGUAAACGAUGUCUACUUGGAGGUUGUGGCCUUGAGCCGUGGCUUUCGGAGCUAACGCGUUAAGUAGACCGCCUGGGGAGUACGGUCGCAAGAUUAAAACUCAAAUGAAUUGACGGGGGCCCGCACAAGCGGUGGAGCAUGUGGUUUAAUUCGAUGCAACGCGAAGAACCUUACCUACUCUUGACAUCCAGAGAAGCCAGCGGAGACGCAGGUGUGCCUUCGGGAGCUCUGAGACAGGUGCUGCAUGGCUGUCGUCAGCUCGUGUUGUGAAAUGUUGGGUUAAGUCCCGCAACGAGCGCAACCCUUAUCCUUGUUUGCCAGCGAGUCAUGUCGGGAACU